Cyprinus carpio (common carp) is the source of this 493-nucleotide long non-coding RNA. RefSeq lists it as uncharacterized. The transcript has 3 exons. The record is from RefSeq and is a predicted model, not a curated record. NCBI's taxonomy places the organism in Eukaryota, Metazoa, Chordata, Actinopteri, Cypriniformes, Cyprinidae.
AACAUACUUAACAUUAUAACGUUACGCUUAUACAAGACGGCUCUGUACUGACAUUUUUUUUGAAAGGAAGUAUUUUGUAAGUUAGGCUAAUAUUUAGCAAUAUCACAGUAUCACUUUGUUGGGUUACAUAUUCAUGAAGCACAUAUCGAUUCAGAGAGGGUCAGCGCUACCACUUCUGAUCCAAUGCACAACAUGUUGCAGAAAUUUUCACUGCCCAUUUUGUGAUGCCAGCAUCUUUAAACCAACAAGACGGAAUAAAUUGACCAGUCAUAUGAAAAUUCACUUCAAAAAGGCUGUUGUUCAUGGAGAUUUCACAUUUCACAGAUGUGGUUUGGGCUGCAGACAAUCUUUUCAUUUCCACUGUCUCUACUGUACAGCCACAAUUCUGAGAAAAUUAGAUUUUCAUAAUCAUUUAGAAGUAUGUAAAGGGAAGCCGCUGUCCACCAGCACUGUUCAUACUACUGGGACCCCAUCAGCAACCAGCACUGUUCAU